ACGGAGGGGUCCCGCGGUAGUCGGAAUGAAAGGGCGUAAAGCGCGCGCAGGUGGUGCGAUAAGUGGCAGGUGAAAUCCCUCGGCUUAACCGGGGAACGGCCUGCCAAACUGUCGCGCUUGAGGCUGGGAGGGGAGAGCGGAAUUCCUGGUGUAGCGGUGAAAUGCGUAGAUACCAGGAGGAACACCGGUGGCGAAGGCGGCUCUCUGGACCAGUUCUGACACUCAUGCGCGAAAGCGUGGGUAGCAAACAG
RNAcentral lists this ribosomal RNA (251 nucleotides) under uncultured prokaryote. RNAcentral describes it as "partial 16S rRNA". It matches the Rfam family "Bacterial small subunit ribosomal RNA", at positions 525 to 775 of the family's 1533-position model. The record is from RNAcentral.